UCUCAGAACAAUAUCUUUUGGAGAUUCAAUAAAAAGAUUGAAAGAAAAAGAUUGCUCUGACAGAAAAAAAGAAUAAAUGGUUCAUUUAUGGCACCUUUUAAAAUCUGUUUUCAGAAAUUGCAUAUGCAAUAGAAAUUUCGAAGUACUGUCCCAAACCAGAAGAGGUUUGCUCCACUAAUAGCAGAAGUAUGUUGGAAUUCUGUGAGUCAGGCUUUAUGCAAUUUCUAGCGAAAUCUGUUCCAUAUCUGAAAGGCGAAAUGGAUGUACCUUUAACCCCUCCAUGCAGACAACAAAGAUCAUGGGUUAAUUUUCUGUGCACAGGACUUCAAGAAGAACCUAUUCCUCUUUCUGGUAACAGUAUUUUGAUUACAGAGUCCUCUAGGAAAUACUUAGAAUGUUUGGCAUGGCAAUCAGAGAAGUAUCGG
RNAcentral lists this long non-coding RNA (425 nucleotides) under Calidris pygmaea (Spoon-billed sandpiper). Its description in RNAcentral is "lncRNA (ENSCPGG00000012166.1)". Lineage: Eukaryota; Metazoa; Chordata; Aves; Charadriiformes; Scolopacidae. The record is from RNAcentral.